Non-coding RNA from Puma concolor (puma), 434 nucleotides. The record is from RefSeq and is a predicted model, not a curated record. Lineage: Eukaryota; Metazoa; Chordata; Mammalia; Carnivora; Felidae.
AGCUCCUGAAAUGAUCGUUUGCCUUAUGAAUCCUAGGAAGGAUCAGGCUAUAUCAAGAGCUCAGAAGAACCGUCUCUGCUGCUGAAGUCAAACCUUAUCCAAAAAAAUUAACAGGCACUUGCUCCUACUCUCGAGCCCCUUAAAAUCAGCAAAGCCCGAGAAGACCGUGUCCUCCUGGGUGAACAGCUUCUUAGACACAUUCUUCUGGGGACCAGCCUAACUUUGUUUGGCUGACAUGAAGAAAAAGGAUUUUUAUCCAUAUAGAGACCAACACUGCCAGGGGAGUGGCCAGGGUGUCCCCAGAGGCACAGAAGGUCAGACAGGCCUGUGAUGAAGAGCCAAAGAGAGGCAGUGGGCGGCUGAGGACUGAAUAUCUGAGUGGCAGCUCUCGGCCAAGUUGGCUUCCCCACUUGGGUCUCCCUGUCAGGUUGGAG